AGCAGCCGCGGUAAUUCCAGCUCCAAUAGCGUAUAUUAAAGUUGUUGCAGUUAAAAAGCUCGUAGUUGAAUUUCGGGAUCAAUACGUCGGUCGUACCUCGGUACGUACUAACGUCAUUGAUUUCUCCCUUCUGACGAACCAUGAUGCCAUUAAUUUGGUGUUAUGGGAAAUCAGGACUGUUACUUUGAAAAAAUUAGAGUGUUUAAAGCAGGCUCACGCUUGAAUACAUUAGCAUGGAAUAAUGAAAUAGGACGUUCGAUCCUAUUUUGUUGGUUUUUAGGAUCAACGUAAUGAUUAAUAGGGAUAGUUGGGGGCAUUAGUAUUCAAUUGUCAGAGGUGAAAUUCUUGGAUUUAUUGAAGACUAACUACUGCGAAAGCAUUUGCCAAGGAUGUUUUCAUUAAUCAAGAACGAAAGUUAGGGGAUCGAAGACGAUCAGAUACCGUCGUAGUCUUAACCAUAACUAUGCCGACUAGGGAUCGGAUGAUGUUAAUUAUUUAAUGACUCAUUCGGCGCCUUAUA
RNAcentral lists this ribosomal RNA (520 nucleotides) under uncultured Glomus. Its description in RNAcentral is "SSU rRNA". It matches the Rfam family "Eukaryotic small subunit ribosomal RNA", at positions 569 to 1092 of the family's 1831-position model. Lineage: Eukaryota; Fungi; Glomeromycota; Glomeromycetes; Glomerales; Glomeraceae. The record is from RNAcentral.